GAUGAACGCUGGCGGCGUGCCUAAUACAUGCAAGUCGAGCGAAUGGAUUGAGAGCUUGCUCUUAUGAAGUUAGCGGCGGACGGGUGAGUAACACGUGGGUAACCUGCCCAUAAGACUGGGAUAACUCCGGGAAACCGGGGCUAAUACCGGAUAACAUUUUGAACCGCAUGGUUCGAAAUUGAAAGGCGGCUUCGGCUGUCACUUAUGGAUGGACCCGCGUCGCAUUAGCUAGUUGGUGAGGUAACGGCUCACCAAGGCAACGAUGCGUAGCCGACCUGAGAGGGUGAUCGGGCACGCGGGGACUGAGACACGGGCCAGACUCCUACGGGAGGUAUCAGUAGGGAAUCUUCCGCAAUGGACGAAAGUCUGACGGAGCAACGCCGCGUGAGUGAUGAAGGCUUUCGGGUCGUAAAACUCUGUUGUUAGGGAAGAACAAGUGCUAGUUGAAUAAGCUGGCACCUUGACGGUACCUAACCAGAAAGCCACGGCUAACUACGUGCCAGCCGCCGCAGUAA
RNAcentral lists this ribosomal RNA (515 nucleotides) under uncultured bacterium. RNAcentral's name for it is "partial 16S ribosomal RNA". It matches the Rfam family "Bacterial small subunit ribosomal RNA", at positions 28 to 523 of the family's 1533-position model. The record is from RNAcentral.